AUUGAACGCUGGCGGCAGGCCUAACACAUGCAAGUCGAGCGGAUGAACGGAGCUUGCUCCUGGAUUCAGCGGCGGACGGGUGAGUAAUGCCUAGGAAUCUCCCUGGUAGUGGUGGAUAACGCCCGGAAACGGGCGCUAAUACCGCAUACGGCCUGAGGGACAAAGUGGGGGAUCUUCGGACCUCACGCUAUCAGAUGAGCCUAGGUCGGAUUAUCUAGUUGGUGGGGUAAAGGGCUACCAAGGCGACGAUCCGUAACUGGUCUGAGAGGAUGAUCAGUCGCACUGGAAGUGAGACACGGACCAGGGUACUAAGGGAGGGAGCAGAGGGGAAUAGUGGGCAGUGGGGGGGAGUCUUGUACAGUCGUGCGGAGUGUGAGGAAGAAGUGUUGGGAGUGGAAAGAAGUUUUAGUUGGUGGGAAGCGCAGUAGGUUAAUACCUAGCGGUUGUGACGUUACCGGGAGAAUAAGCACCGGCUAACUUCGUG
RNAcentral lists this ribosomal RNA (484 nucleotides) under uncultured bacterium. RNAcentral describes it as "partial 16S ribosomal RNA". It matches the Rfam family "Bacterial small subunit ribosomal RNA", at positions 30 to 507 of the family's 1533-position model. The record is from RNAcentral.